Molecule: long non-coding RNA, 1032 nt
Organism: Trichechus manatus latirostris (Florida manatee)
Lineage: Eukaryota; Metazoa; Chordata; Mammalia; Sirenia; Trichechidae
Exons: 2
Source: RefSeq, a predicted model, not a curated record
AUUCGAGGCUUGAAUAUUUUCUUCAGUUCUUUCAGCAUGAGAAAUGCCAAGCAUGUUCUUCCCUUUUGGUUUUCUAACUCCAGGUCUUUGCACAUGUCAUUAUAAUACUUUAUUUUUUGCACCAUACUGGGACUAUAUUAAGGCUUUAGGGCACAAUAUUCAUUAAGUAAUCAUUAUUAAGCCCCUACUAAGUAUCAGCCACUUUUCAAAGCAUAACAAAUCAUUAAAUUAAUCAGAUCAACAGUGGAAACAAUGUAAUGUAUAAUAACAUUUCAUAACAAGUAGUACCUUGCAGUUAACUUUUUAUUAGUACUCCAUAUGAAUAUGUCAACUAAAAACAGAUUUGCCUCUUCCUUAAAAAUUAGAAAGCAGAUGCUAUUUAUUUGGAAAGGAAUAUGCAAGAAUUAUUCAAAAUAUACAUCCUCUACCAGAAAUACAAUGCCACUAAUUUCUUGAAGCAAGAAGUGGAAAAUCCAUUUAAGAAGUACUUCUGUGAUCUAGUUGUCAUGAGGGUGCCCAGGGCCUAAGUGGGUGUUUUGUUAUGCCUAGGGAUUAUUAUUAUUUUUUUAGUUGGACUAAACAUGUUUAACAGUCGUAGAGGAAAUAGAUCCCAACAUAGACCUGCAUAUGCAUAUGUGACCUCUGACUCCAGUCCCCUUACUUAUGAGAACAUCUUUGCCUGGCUCUUCCCCUAUAGCACACCUGUGCUCUAAUGCGUCUAAGUGCCUGAGUUUCCUAUCUGGAAAAUGCAGAUAUUGUCAGCCAUGUCCAGUUAUCACAGACCAGGAGGGCACAUGAGAAAUUGAUGCCGUUAUUGAAACAAUAUGGGUAAGAGUCUGUCUCAAACAGGUAAUUUUUUGCACCUAUUGUUUCCGUUGUUUAACAGCUCUAAAAAAAGACCUCAAAAGAAUAGCACUAAUACACACAGGAGAAAAAAGAUUCUUUAAUCUUGAUACAUUUAAACAAAAAGAAAAAAAAAUCCAAUGUCAAAAUAAUCUUAAUUCCUUGACCACAUUUCAAAAAAAAAAAACA